This 465-nucleotide ribosomal RNA is filed under the name uncultured bacterium. RNAcentral's name for it is "partial 16S ribosomal RNA". It matches the Rfam family "Bacterial small subunit ribosomal RNA", at positions 338 to 795 of the family's 1533-position model. The record is from RNAcentral.
CCUACGGGAGGCAGCAGUGGGGAAUAUUGCGCAAUGGGCGAAAGCCUGACGCAGCGACGCCGCGUGAGGGAUGAAGGUCUUCGGAUCGUAAACCUCUGUCAGCAGGGAAGAACGGUCACUGUGCUAAUCAGCAGUGAAUUGACGGUACCUGCAAAGGAAGCACCGGGUCACUCCGUGCCAGCAGCCGCGGUAAUACGGAGGGUGCGAGCGUUAAUCGGAAUUACUGGGCGUAAAGCGCUCGUAGGCGGUAUGUCAAGUCAAGGGUGAAAGCCCCGCGCUCAACGUGGGAACUGCCUUUGAAACUGGUAAACUGGAGUGUGUGAGAGGAUAGUGGAAUUCCAGGUGUAGGAGUGAAAUCCGUAGAUAUCUGGAGGAACAUCAGUGGCGAAGGCGACUAUCUGGCACAUAACUGACGCUGAGGAGCGAAAGCGUGGGUAGCAAACAGGAUUAGAUACCCCAGUAGUC